GGGCUGGUGGCGCAGCUCGGAAGCGCACCUCCUUGGCAUGGAGGGGGCCGGGGGUUCAAAUCCCCCCCAGUCCA
This 74-nucleotide transfer RNA is filed under the name Theionarchaea archaeon DG-70. RNAcentral describes it as "tRNA-Ala". It matches the Rfam family "tRNA". From Rfam's summary of the family: Transfer RNA (tRNA) molecules are approximately 80 nucleotides in length. RNAcentral also lists the same sequence under 2 other names. Lineage: Archaea; Methanobacteriati; Methanobacteriota; Theionarchaea. The record is from RNAcentral.